ACAGAGCGACAAGGAUGAGUUCAC
Molecule: non-coding RNA, 24 nt
Filed under: Arabidopsis thaliana (thale cress)
Lineage: Eukaryota; Viridiplantae; Streptophyta; Magnoliopsida; Brassicales; Brassicaceae
Source: RNAcentral